GACGAACCGUGCGAACGUUAUUCGGAAUCACUGGGCUUAAAGCGCGUGUAGGCGGGCCGGCACGUCGGCCGCUGAAAUCCCCCGGCUCAACCGGGGAAGCGGCGCCGAUACGACCGGCCUGGAGGGGCGUAGGGGGACCGGGAACUUCCGGUGGAGCGGUGAAAUGCGUUGAGAUCGGAAGGAACGCCCGUGGCGAAAGCGCGGUCCUGGACGCCUGCUGACGCUGAGACGCGAAAGCGUGGGGAGCAAACAGG
This 254-nucleotide ribosomal RNA is filed under the name uncultured bacterium. RNAcentral describes it as "partial 16S ribosomal RNA". It matches the Rfam family "Bacterial small subunit ribosomal RNA", at positions 524 to 776 of the family's 1533-position model. The record is from RNAcentral.